GACGAACGCUGGCGGCGUGCUUAACACAUGCAAGUCGGACGGAAAGGCCCUGCUUUUGUGGGGUGCUCGAGUGGCGAACGGGUGAGUAACACGUGAGUAACCUGCCCUUGACUUUGGGAUAACUUCAGGAAACUGGGGCUAAUACCGGAUAGGAUCUCCUGCUGCAUGGUGGGGGUUGGAAAGUUUCGGCGGUUGGGGAUGGACUCGCGGCUUAUCAGCUUGUUGGUGGGGUAGUGGCUUACCAAGGCUUUGACGGGUAGCCGGCAUGAGAGAGUGAACGGCCACAAGGGGACUGCGAGACGGACCAGAAUGCUACGGGAGGCAGCAGUGGGGAAUAUUGCGCAGUGGGGGGAAGCGUGAUGCGGAAACGCCCCGUGCGGAAUGCCGGCCUUCGGGUUGUAAACAGAUUUCGCCUGUGCCGAAGAGUGAGUGACGGUAAUGGGUAAAGAAGCACCGGCUAACUACGUG
RNAcentral lists this ribosomal RNA (468 nucleotides) under uncultured bacterium. Its description in RNAcentral is "partial 16S ribosomal RNA". It matches the Rfam family "Bacterial small subunit ribosomal RNA", at positions 28 to 507 of the family's 1533-position model. The record is from RNAcentral.